CGGUGCCGCCGGCGCGGGCCAGUGCGGCGUCGCCGGCGAUCGCGGCGAGGAUCCGCGGUUCCAGCUGCGCGGCGUCGGCCA
RNAcentral lists this transfer RNA (81 nucleotides) under Pseudonocardia halophobica. RNAcentral's name for it is "tRNA-Ile". Lineage: Bacteria; Bacillati; Actinomycetota; Actinomycetes; Pseudonocardiales; Pseudonocardiaceae. The record is from RNAcentral.